RNAcentral lists this ribosomal RNA (478 nucleotides) under uncultured bacterium. RNAcentral's name for it is "partial 16S ribosomal RNA". It matches the Rfam family "Bacterial small subunit ribosomal RNA", at positions 28 to 523 of the family's 1533-position model. The record is from RNAcentral.
GACGAACGCUGGCGGCGUGCUUAACACAUGCAAGUCGAACGGUAAGGCCCUUCGGGGUACACGAGUGGCGAACGGGUGAGUAACACGUGGGUGAUCUGCCCUGCACUUCGGGAUAAGCCUGGGAAACUGGGUCUAAUACCGGAUAGGACCCUGGGAUGCAUGUCCUGGGGUGGAAAGCUUUUGCGGUGUGGGAUGGGCCCGCGGCCUAUCAGCUUGUUGGUGGGGUGAUGGCCUACCAAGGCGACGACGGGUAGCCGGCCUGAGAGGGUGACCGGCCACACUGGGACUGAGAUACGGCCCAGACUCCUACGGGAGGCAGCAGUGGGGAAUAUUGCACAAUGGGCGCAAGCCUGAUGCAGCGACGCCGCGUGAGGGAUGACGGCCUUCGGGUUGUAAACCUCUUUCAACAACGACGAAGCGCAAGUGACGGUAGGUGCAGAAGAAGGACCGGCCAACGACGGGACAGAAGAAGAAGUAA